CGAACGGGUGAGUAACGCGCGAGGAACCUGCCUCAAAGAGGGGGACAACAGUUGGAAACGACUGCUAAUACCGCAUAAGCCCACGGGUCGGCAUCGACCAGAGGGAAAAGGAGCAAUCCGCUUUGAGAUGGCCUCGCGUCCGAUUAGCUAGUUGGUGAGGUAAUGGCCCACCAAGGCAACGAUCGGUAGCCGGACUGAGAGGUUGAACGGCCACAUUGGGACUGAGACACGGCCCAG
This 237-nucleotide ribosomal RNA is filed under the name uncultured bacterium. RNAcentral's name for it is "partial 16S ribosomal RNA". It matches the Rfam family "Bacterial small subunit ribosomal RNA", at positions 99 to 334 of the family's 1533-position model. The record is from RNAcentral.